RNAcentral lists this ribosomal RNA (465 nucleotides) under uncultured bacterium. RNAcentral's name for it is "partial 16S ribosomal RNA". It matches the Rfam family "Bacterial small subunit ribosomal RNA", at positions 29 to 508 of the family's 1533-position model. The record is from RNAcentral.
ACGAACGCUGGCGGCGUGCUUCACACAUGCAAGUCGAACGGAAAGGCCCCUUUGGGGGUACUCGAGUGGCGAACGGGUGAGUAACACGUGAGUAACCUGCCCUUGACUUCGGGAUAACUUCAGGAAACUGGGGCUAAUACCGGAUAGGAAUCCUUGCUGCAUGGUGGGGGUUGGAAAGCUUCGGCGGUUUUGGAUGGACUCGCGGCUUAUCAGCUUGUUGGUGGGGUAGUGGCUUACCAAGGCUUUGACGGGUAGCCGGCCUGAGAGGGCGACCGGCCACAUUGGGACUGAGAUACGGCCCAGACUCCUACGGGAGGCAGCAGUGGGGAAUAUUGCACAAUGGGCGGAAGCCUGAUGCAGCAACGCCGCGUGCGGGAUGACGGCCUUCGGGUUGUAAACCGCUUUCAGCAGGGGCGAAGCUUGUGGUGACGGUACCUGCAGAAGAAGCACCGGCUAACUACGUGC